This 3526-nucleotide long non-coding RNA is filed under the name Homo sapiens (human). Its description in RNAcentral is "HSALNT0150217". The record is from RNAcentral. Lineage: Eukaryota; Metazoa; Chordata; Mammalia; Primates; Hominidae.
GCCCACACUGUUGCCUGGGCUAGAGUGUAGUGGCACGAUCUCAGCUCACUGCAACCUCUGCCUCCCAGAUUCAAGAGAUUCUCCUGCCUCAGUUUCCCGAGCAGCUGGGAUUACAGAUGCCCGCCACCACACCCAGCUAAUUUUUUGUUUUUUUAGUAGAGACAGGGUUUCCCCAUGUUGGCCAGGCUGGUCUCAAACUCCUGACCUCAUGAUUUGCCCGCCUUGGCCUCCUAAAGUGAUGGGAUUACAGGCGUGAGCCACCGCACCCGGCCUGUAUUCAUAUAUAUAUAUAUAUGGAAGUACAGGCUCCAAAGCCCCCAUACUAUUUCCUGUUUCCUCUCCCUUGCACUGGUACAUGUUUGAUAUAUACAACUUUUCAAUAUUUUGGCAGCUUCACCUGUGAUUUUUUUUUAAUAAAAAAAGAAGGGGCAGGAGGUGACAGUAAUCAUCACAAUUUAUUUUUUCUUGUCACAUGAAAAGAAACAAAUCUUUGUGAAAUAAUUUAAUACUUUGAAGGGUGACCCAGAAACACAAGUAAUGGCUAUCAAUGCCUCUUCCAGCCAGUGAAGCUACAAGAACAAGGGAGUCCAAUGCUUCUUUUGAAGAAAGCUUUAAAUUCAUGGCACUAUUUUGGAAUAUGAGAAAAAUAUUUUAAAAUGCAUUUCUUGGCCUCUCUUGUUUUGUUUUGUUUCCUUCCUGCUGCUCUUGGGGAGUAUUAAUAAAAGAGAUGGGAUAAGUGAAAAACACAAGACAGAGAACUAUUUAUUUUUUUUCAGUUUUUUUGCCACUGAAAUGAAAAGAUUAUAAUAAUAAUAGUCACCAUUUAUUAAACUCUGCUAAGCACAUCAUGGCCUGAUUCAAUCCUUUUAGCAUCAUACAAGGAAGUUAUUAUCUCCCCUUUACAGAGAAGGCUGUGGCUGGGGAGGUAGGGGUUGAGAACUUGCCUGAAGUCAUAGCACAUCCUAGCUGCUAGGAACUAUUUUCUGAGCUAGGCUCUUCACACUGACCAUCUUAUAAAGUCUCUCACAGCAUCCCUGGAAUAAAUGCAUUAUUGUCAACAUUUUUAUAACUUACAAAAGGCUAAGUGGUAAAUUGAGGGUAGAAUUCAAACUGAGGUCUUUCCAACUCCAAAACAUGUGCUGUGAUGACCGUGCCAUAAACUUUCUCGUACCUUGUCAGAACAAAUGUACUGAAACUACCAUAGUUUCAGAACUGUAAUAAUCGAUGCAUAGUCCCCAUUGGUAGAUUUAGUGUUUUACAAUAGAGUUUCUGAAAAGCAGUUUUAAAAUACCCUUCAGCAAGCAUUUACUGAGGCCUCGUCUAGGCCAGGACUUGGGCUGGACAUUGCAGGCAUGGCCACAGUAACGAUGACUCAGAACUUGCCCCCAAGGAGUUCACAGUCUGGGAGCAUUGGGGAGAGGAGCAGAAAGUAAACUAGAGAGCACAAAACACAAAGUCACACUCUUGUAUAACAUACACUCAGUAAAAAGGAGGCCCACUAGAGCAGGGUUUCUCAACCUGGCACUAUUGCAUUUGGGGCUGUCUGAGUCUUGCUGUGGGGGCUGCCUGUGCAUUGUGGGGUAUUAGCAGCAUCUCUGAAUUCUACUCAGUAGAUACCAGUAGCCCCCCCACAACCAAAAAUGUCUCUGGACAUUGCCAAAUGUCUCCUGAGGUUGGGGGAGUGAGAAUCACUGCCCCACAGUUACAUCCUGGCAGAGUUAAGCAAUGAAACAAAAUCACUGGCCAUUAAUAAUACUAUAUGAUUUUCAAUUAAGAGCUUAUUUACACACCAAGUACCUUAGAAACCUGAUCUCAUCCCAUCCUCAUCAAAACCUUAUGGUGUGUACAAGCUGGAAUGAUGCCUAUUUUAUAGGUUAGGGCACUGAGGCACAAAGAGUUUAGUGGAUGCCUAGCUGCACAGUAGUGACCGAUAGAGCAGGCAUUUGAAGCCUGCCCUGCCAUCUUAGUCAGUGCACCGAGAUAUGAAGAGCAUUUUUAAAGUGUGCUAGGCUCUUUCAUUUUCAUUACAUGUCCACUGAUAUGGUUUGACUCUGUGUCCCCACCGAAAUCUCAUGUCGAAAUGCAAUCCCCACAUGUUGGAGGAGGGACCUGGUGGGAAGUGAUUGGAUCAUGGAGGUGGAUUUCCCUCCUACUGUUCUCGUGAUAGUGAGUGAGUUCUCAUGAGAUCCAAUGGUUUAAAAGUGUGUGGCACUUCCUCCCUUCACUCUCUCUCUCUCUCCGGCCACCAUGUGAAGAUAUGCGUGCUUCCCCUUCACCCUUCUGCCAUGAUUGUAAGUUUCCUGAGGCUUCCCCAGCCAUGCCUCCUGUACAGCCUGUGGAACUGUGAGUCAAACCCCUUUUCUUCACAAAUUACCCAGUCUCAGGUAGUUCUUUAUAUCAGUGUGAGAACAGACUAAUACAUCCACAGGCUGACCUAAUCUAAAAUUAGCAACACAAAGGAAUGAAUAUUUAUAAUUGUAUACAGUGUUAUCCUUUGUGAAUAUUCUAUCUUAUCCAUUCUGGACCUAAUUAAUCUAGUUUAUUUUGGAUGAUUUGCUUAUGGGAGUCUUGCUUUAACCAGGGAAAAUAUUUAUUAAUUCUGAAGAAUGUAGUAAGUUUCAUAUCUUGAUUUAUAUUUUGGCAGUUCAACCAUGCACUGUGUGGGGGCCAAAAAAAUCCCUAAAAAUAAUCAUAUGAUAUUGGCUAAGACCAAAUGCAGCCAGUUAUUUCUGUUGGUAUGUCUUAAUGAGGGAAAAAGGCAGAGCUGGAUGCCUCUUCUUUCUUAAAUUAAAAACAAAACAAAAUAAACAAGCAAAAAAAACUUCAAGAGACUUCAAAGGUCAGUAGAAAGUUUUCGUUUAAAUUGCCAAUUGUACAAUUUGAGGAAUGCAAGUAAACUGCCCUCAAAUAACUUUUCUAGGUAUUUUUCAAAAAAUUCUAAAGGGAAUAUUUGCUUUCUAGGCAAGGUUUUUAAAUAUUUCAUUAUCUAGGCUUAGAUAGCUUGGAUAGAAUAGUUAUUAUUUUAUAUUCAAUCUUUUACUUUAGCAGACUAUUAGGAUAUGCUUGUUGUGACUCAGUUUUUUGUAUCUACCAUCUGUUGGUUUAUUACCCAAAUCUAUAAGUAAACAUCAACAUAGGAAGCUUUACUGUCACUGAAGCUUUAUUAAAUAAAUGAGUUUAAUUGUGGAUUGUUAUCUGUGAAGUCAGGACCUGGGAGAGAAAAAAGCUACCAGCAACAUUCAGACUGAGAGAGGCCAAAAUACUAAUUCAUAAUUAGCCUGGUACAUAUGAAGGAUCAAAAAGAACAGGACUGUAUGUCUGACCUCUGACAGGCCCUACCACCAUAGUAGAGACUCAGUAUGUAUACUUAAUGAAGGAAUAAUGAAUACAUCAGCAAGAGAAAUAAGAGUGACCAUAUGUUCCUUAAGAGAAGCAAAGAGCAGCUCCUGUUCCUGCAACACGGAUGAAGCUGAAGGCCAUUAUCCUAAGUGAGUUAACACAGGAAUAGAAAACCAAAUACCGCAUA